This is an RNA transcript of Zea mays, 565 nucleotides long. RefSeq lists it as uncharacterized. The transcript has 2 exons. NCBI's taxonomy places the organism in Eukaryota, Viridiplantae, Streptophyta, Magnoliopsida, Poales, Poaceae. The record is from RefSeq and is marked validated.
CAUUCCGGGUAGUCGGCCACGCUCCACUGCUGUCGCUGGCAUGGAAGCGGUGACGUAGAUUCUCGACGCGAUGGCGCAUAUGGAGCUCCACUUGAUCGGUGCGCUGGCGGGCGGUGGUGGCGAGCAAGGCCCUGCAUCCUCCUCUGCCACCAUCACUUCCUCUGCCACCGCGCCACGGUACGAGUACGACGAUGAGGUCUUCGGCUCUUCGGCGGCCCCAGCAUACGACGACGACCUGCUUGGUGCCGGCCCCUUCCUCAACCCCGUGACCCCCCCAGACGCAUGCUAAGGUGGACAAGCCAUCCCGCGACGAGAUCGACAAGGUGUACCAGCUUGGGGACAAGCCGGUUUUCAAGGCCGGGGGAAUGUCAGCAACAUGCUAGGGAAGAGACGGUGAUGUCCAGCAAGGAGCAGCAGCAGACCAGGAAAGGUGAAAGCACGCACCAAGGCUGAGGCGUGGGCUGUGUAAACGAGUGGCCGUGUGUUGGCUUCACCGUGAAGGGUAUUUGAGUCUUGAGUCUGUACGAACUGGGUAUCGAAAAAUCAGAAUACAAACCAAUUAUCG